AGUCGGUCGAUAAGCCGGGUUCUGUCGCGGACAAUCAUUCAUCUGGGAUAUGCGUCACCACAUACCUCAAGCAACCUACCCGAAUCCCGUACGGGCCGCACGUUUUCACCUCGCGAUGAAGUGGAUUCCUAUUUGGUCUUGCUCCGGGUGGGGUUUUCCCUGCCACGACUGUUACCAAUCGCGCGGUGCGCUCUUACCGCACCAUUUCACCCUUACCAGUUCGAUAAGGAACUGGCGGUAUAUUUUCUGUGGCACUUUCCGUAGGCUUUCACCUCCCAGGCGUUACCUGGCACCCUGCCCUAUGGAGCCCGGACUUUCCUCCCCUUGUGUAAACAAGGAGCGAUUGCCUGACCGACUCUGUUCCAAUACUAACAGAGUGCCUAGUGAAAGACCAGAAUCAUAA
This 403-nucleotide non-coding RNA is filed under the name Legionella massiliensis. The record is from RNAcentral. Lineage: Bacteria; Pseudomonadati; Pseudomonadota; Gammaproteobacteria; Legionellales; Legionellaceae.